This 1465-nucleotide ribosomal RNA is filed under the name uncultured bacterium. RNAcentral's name for it is "bacterial SSU rRNA". It matches the Rfam family "Bacterial small subunit ribosomal RNA". The record is from RNAcentral.
GGCUCAGGACGAACGCUGGCGGCGUGCUUAACACAUGCAAGUCGAACGGAAAGGCCCUGCUUUUGUGGGGUGCUCGAGUGGCGAACGGGUGAGUAACACGUGAGUAACCUGCCCUUGACUUUGGGAUAACUUCAGGAAACUGGGGCUAAUACCGGAUAGGAGCUCCUGCUGCAUGGUGGGGGUUGGAAAGUUUCGGCGGUUGGGGAUGGACUCGCGGCUUAUCAGCUUGUUGGUGGGGUAGUGGCUUACCAAGGCUUUGACGGGUAGCCGGCCUGAGAGGGUGACCGGCCACAUUGGGACUGAGAUACGGCCCAGACUCCUACGGGAGGCAGCAGUGGGGAAUAUUGCACAAUGGGCGGAAGCCUGAUGCAGCAACGCCGCGUGCGGGAUGACGGCCUUCGGGUCGUAAACCGCUUUCGCCUGUGACGAAGCGUGAGUGACGGUAAUGGGUAAAGAAGCACCGGCUAACUACGUGCCAGCAGCCGCGGUGAUACGUAGGGUGCGAGCGUUGUCCGGAUUUAUUGGGCGUAAAGGGCUCGUAGGUGGUUGAUCGCGUCGGAAGUGUAAUCUUGGGGCUUAACCCUGAGCGUGCUUUCGAUACGGGUUGACUUGAGGAAGGUAGGGGAGAAUGGAAUUCCUGGUGGAGCGGUGGAAUGCGCAGAUAUCAGGAGGAACACCAGUGGCGAAGGCGGUUCUCUGGGCCUUUCCUGACGCUGAGGAGCGAAAGCGUGGGGAGCGAACAGGCUUAGAUACCCUGGUAGUCCACGCUGUAAACGGUGGGUACUAGGUGUGGGGUCCAUUCCACGGGUUCCGUGCCGUAGCUAACGCUUUAAGUACCCCGCCUGGGGAGUACGGCCGCAAGGCUAAAACUCAAAGGAAUUGACGGGGCCCCGCACAAGCGGCGGAGCAUGCGGAUUAAUUCGAUGCAACGCGUAGAACCUUACCUGGGUUUGACAUGGAUCGGGAGUGCUCAGAGAUGGGUGUGCUCUUUUGGGGUCGGUUCACAGGUGGUGCAUGGCUGUCGUCAGCUCGUGUCGUGAGAUGUUGGGUUAAGUCCCGCAACGAGCGCAACCCUUGUUCACUGUUGCCAGCACGUUAUGGUGGGGACUCAGUGGAGACCGCCGGGGUCAACUCGGAGGAAGGUGGGGAUGACGUCAAGUCAUCAUGCCCCUUAUGUCCAGGGCUUCACGCAUGCUACAAUGGCUGGUACAGAGAGUGGCGAGCCUGUGAGGGUGAGCGAAUCUCGGAAAGCCGGUCUCAGUUCGGAUUGGGGUCUGCAACUCGACCUCAUGAAGUCGGAGUCGCUAGUAAUCGCAGAUCAGCAACGCUGCGGUGAAUACGUUCCCGGGGCUUGUACACACCGCCCGUCAAGUCAUGAAAGUUGGUAACACCCGAAGCCGGUGGCCUAACCGUUGUGGGGGAGCCGUCGAAGGUGGGACUGGUGAUUAGGACUAAGUCGUAACAA